RNAcentral lists this transfer RNA (71 nucleotides) under Loxodonta africana (African savanna elephant). It matches the Rfam family "tRNA". Rfam says of the family: Transfer RNA (tRNA) molecules are approximately 80 nucleotides in length. Their secondary structure includes four short double-helical elements and three loops (D, anti-codon, and T loops). The record is from Rfam by way of RNAcentral. Lineage: Eukaryota; Metazoa; Chordata; Mammalia; Proboscidea; Elephantidae.
UCAUUUGUGGUUCAGUGGUAGAAUUCUUGCCUUCCAUGUGAGAGACCAGAGUUAAAUUCCCUGCCAAUGUA